GACGAAGGAUGCAAGCGUUAUCCGGAUUCAUUGGGUUUAAAGGGCGCGUAGGUGGCCUUGUAAGUCAGUGGUGAAAUCUGGCAGCUUAACUGCUAAAUUGCCAUUGAUACUGCAGGGCUUGAGUACAGAUGCCGUUGGCGGAAUAUGACAUGUAGUGGUGAAAUACAUAGAGAUGUCAUAGAACACCGAUUGCGAAGGCAGCUGACGAAACUGUAACUGACACUGAGGCUCGAAAGUGUGGGGAUCAAACAGG
Molecule: ribosomal RNA, 253 nt
Filed under: uncultured bacterium
Lineage: Bacteria
Description: partial 16S ribosomal RNA
Rfam family: Bacterial small subunit ribosomal RNA
Source: RNAcentral